RNAcentral lists this ribosomal RNA (424 nucleotides) under uncultured prokaryote. RNAcentral describes it as "bacterial SSU rRNA". It matches the Rfam family "Bacterial small subunit ribosomal RNA", at positions 355 to 796 of the family's 1533-position model. The record is from RNAcentral.
UGGGGAAUCUUAGACAAUGGGCGCAAGCCUGAUCUAGCCAUGCCGCGUGAGUGACGAAGGCCUUAGGGUCGUAAAGCUCUUUCGCCAGGGAUGAUAAUGACAGUACCUGGUAAAGAAACCCCGGCUAACUCCGUGCCAGCAGCCGCGGUAAUACGGAGGGGGUUAGCGUUGUUCGGAAUUACUGGGCGUAAAGCGCACGUAGGCGGGCUGUUAAGUUAGAGGUGAAAUCCCGGGGCUCAACCCCGGAACUGCCUUUAAUACUGGCAGCCUAGAGUUCGAGAGAGGUGAGUGGAAUUCCGAGUGUAGAGGUGAAAUUCGUAGAUAUUCGGAGGAACACCAGUGGCGAAGGCGGCUCACUGGCUCGAUACUGACGCUGAGGUGCGAAAGUGUGGGGAGCAAACAGGAUUAGAUACCCCCGUAGUCC